Molecule: ribosomal RNA, 253 nt
Filed under: uncultured bacterium
Lineage: Bacteria
Description: partial 16S ribosomal RNA
Rfam family: Bacterial small subunit ribosomal RNA
Source: RNAcentral
UACGUAGGGGGCAAGCGUUGUCCGGAAUCAUUGGGCGUAAAGAGCGCGUAGGCGGUCCGGUAAGUCGGUUGUGAAAACUGGGGGCUCAACCCUCAGAGGCCGACCGAUACUGUCGGGCUAGAGUCCGGAAGAGGCGAGUGGAAUUCCUGGUGUAGCGGUGAAAUGCGCAGAUAUCAGGAGGAACACCAAUGGCGGAGGCAGCUCGCUGGGACGGUACUGACGCUGAGGCGCGAAAGCGUGGGGAGCAAACAGG